CCUACGGGAGGCAGCAGUCGAGAAUCAUUCACAAUGGGGGAAACCCUGAUGGUGCGACGCCGCGUGGGGGAAUAAAGGUCUUCGGAUUGUAAACCCCUGUCAUGUGGGGGCAAAUUAAAAGAAUAGUACCACAAGAGGAAGAGAGGGCUAACUCUGUGCAAGCAACCGCGGUAAUACAGAGGCGUCAAGCGUGUUUCGGAAUCACUGGUCGUAAAGGGUGCGUAGGCGGUUUCGUAAGUGUGUUGUGAAAGGCGGGGGCUCAACCCGCGGAGGGCAAAUGAUACUGCGAGACUAGAGUAAUGGAGGGGGAACCGGAAUGCUCGGUGUAGCAGUGAAAUGCGUAGAUAUCGAGAGGAACACUCGUGGCGAAGGCGGGUUCCUGGACAUUAACUGACGCUGAGGCACGAAGGCCAGGGGAGCGAAAGGGAUUAGAUACCCCAGUAGUC
This 446-nucleotide ribosomal RNA is filed under the name uncultured bacterium. RNAcentral describes it as "partial 16S ribosomal RNA". It matches the Rfam family "Bacterial small subunit ribosomal RNA", at positions 338 to 795 of the family's 1533-position model. The record is from RNAcentral.